GAGAGAGAGAGUUUGGAGAGUGGGUGGGAUUGAGGAUAGGGAGAAAGAGAGAUGUGUCACAAUGUGUCUUUGAUUACUGUUAUCAGGGAGAAAAAGUAUCAUUAUAGCAGCGCUCCUUUUCUUUGAUGAUGUUGUGCCUGUUUCCCAUUUACGGAGGGCAACACCCAGCAGCAAUGUCAAGACCACCCCAGCUACGCUGUCCACCUACUACAUAUGCGUCAGAAUCACCAACCGGAUUUACACUGAGUCACUCAAUAAUCAAAACUCUAAGGAGUACAAACAGCUGAGGAAACAGGUGGAGCAGAUGAUGGAUGACGUCCACAGCCCUUUGUCAGAGUCUGCCAAAUAUAUGGGUGUAUUUGAUAUAAUCUUCAGUAAUGGAUCCGUCAUUGCAAACUCGACAGUAAGGUUUGGGACUACAUUGAUGAUAACUCCAACUUUGGUUAAAGGUCUAUUUUCCACUCAUAUCCAAUCAAAUAAAUCCAAAACCCUUGACCUGGACCUCGCCUAUACUGAAGGUCAACUUCCAAUAAAAGCCACACUACCUCUUGUGGCACGUACCACAGCAACCGUAGCUGCCUUAGAUAGUACGGCUAGCCGUUCAGGAUGGGCUGGGGAUGCAACUACAUCUACAGCAAUUACUUCAUCUGGCAACAUCACAAGUAGUCAUACCCUCACAACCACCACCACUAGUCCUGACAAAAACACUACAACUAGCAACACAACCACCCCUAGUCCUGGAGAGCAUAACACUACAACUAGCAACACAACCACCCCUAGUCCUGGAGAGCAUAACACUACAACUAGCAACACAACCACCCCUAGUCCUGGAGACCAUAACACUACAACUAGCAACACAACUAACCCUAGUCCUGGAGAGCAUAACACUACAACUAGCAACACAACUAACCCUAGUCCUGGAGAGCAUAACACUACAACUAGCAACACAACCACCCCUAGUCCUGGAGAGCAUAACACUACAACUAGCAACACAACCACCCCUAGUCCUGGAGACCAUAACACUACAACUAGCAAAAUAACCCCCCCUAGUCCUGGAGAGCAUAACACUACAACUAGCAAAAUAACCCCCCCUAGUCCUGGAGAGCAUAACACUACAACUAGCAAAAUAACCCCCCCUAGUCCUGGAGACCAUAACACUACAACUAGCAAAAUAACCCCCCUAGUCCUGGAGAGCAUAACACUACACCUAGCAAAAUAACCCCCCUAGUCCUGGAGAGCAUAACACUACAACUAGCAAAAUAACCCCCCCUAGUCCUGGAGAGCAUAACACUACAACUAGCAAAAUAACCCCCCCUAGUCCUGGAGAGCAUAACACUACAACUAGCAAAAUAACCCCCCUAGUCCUGGAGAGCAUAACACUACAACUAGCAAAAUAACCCCCC
This 1403-nucleotide long non-coding RNA is filed under the name Salmo salar (Atlantic salmon). RNAcentral's name for it is "lncRNA (ENSSSAG00000089585.1)". The record is from RNAcentral. Lineage: Eukaryota; Metazoa; Chordata; Actinopteri; Salmoniformes; Salmonidae.